This 72-nucleotide transfer RNA is filed under the name Solirubrobacterales bacterium. Its description in RNAcentral is "tRNA-Asn". It matches the Rfam family "tRNA". Rfam says of the family: Transfer RNA (tRNA) molecules are approximately 80 nucleotides in length. Their secondary structure includes four short double-helical elements and three loops (D, anti-codon, and T loops). The record is from RNAcentral. Lineage: Bacteria; Bacillati; Actinomycetota; Thermoleophilia; Solirubrobacterales. RNAcentral also lists the same sequence under 2 other names.
UCCGGGGUGGCGCAAUGGCAGCGCAAGAUCCUGUUAAGAUCGAGGUUGUGGGUUCGAGUCCCACCCCCGGAG